RNAcentral lists this non-coding RNA (29 nucleotides) under Mus musculus (house mouse). The record is from RNAcentral. Lineage: Eukaryota; Metazoa; Chordata; Mammalia; Rodentia; Muridae.
UCAGAACAUAGUCGUCGUCGUCUUCUGGG